GUCGUAACAAGGUAUCCCUACCGGAAGGUGGGGAUGGAUCACCUCCUUUCUAAGGAAAUAAUUUUUUAAAUAUUCAUCUUCAGUUUUGAAAGACUUAGUUCUUAUAAGUUUUUCUUUUUUAAGGAAAAGAAAAUGGGCCUAUAGCUCAGUUGGUUAGAGCACACGCCUGAUAAGCGUGAGGUCGAUGGUUCAAGUCCAUUUAGGCCCACC
Molecule: transfer RNA, 210 nt
Filed under: Sugarcane whiteleaf phytoplasma
Lineage: Bacteria; Bacillati; Mycoplasmatota; Mollicutes; Acholeplasmatales; Acholeplasmataceae
Description: partial 16S-23S ribosomal RNA intergenic spacer
Rfam family: tRNA (bases 135-208)
Source: RNAcentral